UACGGGGGGGGCGAGCGUUGUUCGGAAUUACUGGGCGUAAAGGGUGCGUAGGCGGUUUUGCAAGUCGGGCGUGAAAGCCCUGGGCUCAACCCAGGAUGUGCGUUCGAAACUGCAAGGCUUGAGCACGAGAGAGGAUGGUGGAAUUCCCAGUGUAGAGGUGAAAUUCGUAGAGAUUGGGAAGAACACCGGUGGCGAAGGCGGCCAUCUGGCUCGUUGCUGACGCUGAGGCACGACAGCGUGGGGAGCAAACAGG
Molecule: ribosomal RNA, 253 nt
Filed under: uncultured bacterium
Lineage: Bacteria
Description: partial 16S ribosomal RNA
Rfam family: Bacterial small subunit ribosomal RNA
Source: RNAcentral